CCCCUCCCCUCCGUAGGUCCCGCCGACACCUCACCAGUGUGGCCGUUGUUGCAGAGGCUCAGUUCCUGGCGAGGCUGGCGCCCGUAGCCGACGAGUUCCAGGGGCUGCAGAGCGCGGCAGAAGACGCUCCAAAGACUGUGGCCACUCCCUGCAUAAAGGAGAAGAAUUCACAAGCCCCCUGUUAAAGCCCAGCUCCUUCCCGGCGCCCAGAAUGAAAAAGACUUUCUCCCACUCUGGCAGUGGCUUCAAAGCUGUCUUGCAAGAGUGUUACAGUUCCUGGCUUAGAGCCAACGUGGUGGUGCACACCUGAAGCCCCAGAACUCAGAGGUGAAAGCAGUUCAAGGCCACCCUGAUCUACACAAGGCGAGCCUGCUUGCCCCUCCCCGACAAAGCAAUCCCAAGUAUUUCCACCUGUUGAUUGCUUUCCAGCACUGCAAACUGGAG
Molecule: long non-coding RNA, 444 nt
Organism: Meriones unguiculatus (Mongolian gerbil)
Lineage: Eukaryota; Metazoa; Chordata; Mammalia; Rodentia; Muridae
Exons: 3
Source: RefSeq, a predicted model, not a curated record